AGUGAGCGGCAAAAGCUCAAUUUGAAAUCUAGCACCUUCGGUGUUCGAGUUGUAAUUUGAAGAUGGUAACCUUGGGUUUGGCUCUUGUCUAUGUUCCUUGGAACAGGACGUCAUAGAGGGUGAGAAUCCCGUCUGAUGAGAUGCCCAUUCCUAUGUAAGGUGCUAUCGAAGAGUCGAGUUGUUUG
Molecule: ribosomal RNA, 185 nt
Filed under: uncultured Wickerhamomyces
Lineage: Eukaryota; Fungi; Ascomycota; Saccharomycetes; Phaffomycetales; Phaffomycetaceae
Description: partial 26S ribosomal RNA
Rfam family: Eukaryotic large subunit ribosomal RNA
Source: RNAcentral